AACGGGUGAGUAACACGUGGGCAAUUGCCUCGAAGCUGGGGAUAAGCCUCGAAAGGGGGUCUAAUACCGGAUAAUAUCCCGGCAUCCAAAGGUUCGCUUUGAGAUGAGCCCGCGGUCCAUUAGCUUGUUGGUGAGGUAAAAGCCCACCAAGGCUAUGAUGGAUAGCCGACCUGAGAGGGUGUUCGGCCACACUGGGACUGAGAUACGGCCCAGACUCCUACGGGAGGCAGCAGUAGGGAAUCUUGCGCAAUGGGCAAAUGCCUGACGCAGCGACGCCGCGUGGAGGAUGAAGUUUUUCGGAAUGUAAACUCCUGUCCGUGGGGAAGAAUGACGGUACCCACAGAGGAAGCUCCGGCUAACUCCGUGCCAGCAGCCGCGGUAAUACGGGGGGAGCAAGCGUUGUUCGGAAUCACUGGGCGUAAAGAGCGUGUAGGCGGGCAGACAAGUCAGACG
This 453-nucleotide ribosomal RNA is filed under the name uncultured soil bacterium. RNAcentral describes it as "bacterial SSU rRNA". It matches the Rfam family "Bacterial small subunit ribosomal RNA", at positions 101 to 594 of the family's 1533-position model. The record is from RNAcentral.